This 497-nucleotide ribosomal RNA is filed under the name uncultured bacterium. RNAcentral describes it as "partial 16S ribosomal RNA". It matches the Rfam family "Bacterial small subunit ribosomal RNA", at positions 28 to 507 of the family's 1533-position model. The record is from RNAcentral.
GACGAACGCUGGCGGCGUGCCUAAUACAUGCAAGUUGAGCGCUGAAGGUUGGUACUUGUACCAACUGGAUGAGCAGCGAACGGGUGAGUAACGCGUGGGGAAUCUGCCUUUGAGCGGGGGACAACAUUUGGAAACGAAUGCUAAUACCGCAUAAAAACUUUAAACACAAGUUUUAAGUUUGAAAGAUGCAAUUGCAUCACUCAAAGAUGAUCCCGCGUUGUAUUAGCUAGUUGGUGAGGUAAAGGCUCACCAAGGCGAUGAUACAUAGCCGACCUGAGAGGGUGAUCGGCCACAUUGGGACUGGGACACGGCCCAAACUCCUACGGGAGGCAGCAGUAGGGAAUCUUCGGCGAUGGACGCAAGUCUGACCGAGCAACGCCGCGUGAGUGAAGAAGGUUUUCGGAUCGUAAAACUCUGUUGGUAGAGAAGAACGUUGGUGAGAGUGGAAAGCUCAUCAAGUGACGGUAACUACCCAGAAAGGGACGGCUAACUACGUG